CUAAGAAUCUUGCGCAAUGGGCGAAAGCCUGACGCAGCAAUUCCGCGUGGAGGACGAAGGCCUUCGGGUUGUAAACUCCUUUUGUGAGGGAAGAAGUUCUGACGGUACCUCACGAAUAAGACACGGCUAACUACGUGCCAGCAGCCGCGGUAAUACGUAGGUGUCGAGCGUUGUCCGGAUUUAUUGGGCGUAAAGCGCCCGCAGGCGGCCAGGCAAGUCCAGGGUGAAAUCUCCCGGCUCAACCGGGCG
Molecule: ribosomal RNA, 249 nt
Filed under: uncultured Chloroflexota bacterium
Lineage: Bacteria; Bacillati; Chloroflexota
Description: uncultured Chloroflexi bacterium partial 16S ribosomal RNA
Rfam family: Bacterial small subunit ribosomal RNA
Source: RNAcentral